GAUGAACGCUGGCGGCGUGCCUAAUACAUGCAAGUCGAGCGAACGGACGAGAAGCUUGCUUCUCUGAUGUUAGCGGCGGACGGGUGAGUAACACGUGGAUAACCUACCUAUAAGACUGGGAUAACUUCGGGAAACCGGAGCUAAUACCGGAUAAUAUUUUGAACCGCAUGGUUCAAAAGUAAAAGACGGUCUUGCUGUCACUUAUAGAUGGAUCCGCGCUGCAUUAGCUAGUUGGUAAGGUAACGGCUUACCAAGGCAACGAUGCAUAGCCGACCUGAGAGGGUGAUCGGCCACACUGGAACUGAGACACGGUCCAGACUCCUACGGGAGGCAGCAGUAGGGAAUCUUCCGCGAUGGGCGAAAGCCUGACGGAGCAACGCCGCGUGAGUGAUGAAGGUCUUCGGAUCGUAAAACUCUGUUAUUAGGGAAGAACAUAUGUGUAAGUAACUGUGCACAUCUUGACGGUACCUAAUCAGAAAGCCACGGCUAACUACGUG
This 497-nucleotide ribosomal RNA is filed under the name uncultured bacterium. Its description in RNAcentral is "partial 16S ribosomal RNA". It matches the Rfam family "Bacterial small subunit ribosomal RNA", at positions 28 to 507 of the family's 1533-position model. The record is from RNAcentral.